Molecule: ribosomal RNA, 380 nt
Filed under: Bacillus safensis
Lineage: Bacteria; Bacillati; Bacillota; Bacilli; Caryophanales; Bacillaceae
Description: bacterial SSU rRNA
Rfam family: Bacterial small subunit ribosomal RNA
Source: RNAcentral
GAGAUGUUGGGUUAAGUCCCGCAACGAGCGCAACCCUUGAUCUUAGUUGCCAGCAUUCAGUUGGGCACUCUAAGGUGACUGCCGGUGACAAACCGGAGGAAGGUGGGGAUGACGUCAAAUCAUCAUGCCCCUUAUGACCUGGGCUACACACGUGCUACAAUGGACAGAACAAAGGGCUGCAAGACCGCAAGGUUUAGCCAACCCCAUAAAUCUGUUCUCAGUUCGGAUCGCAGUCUGCAACUCGACUGCGUGAAGCUGGAAUCGCUAGUAAUCGCGGAUCAGCAUGCCGCGGUGAAUACGUUCCCGGGCCUUGUACACACCGCCCGUCACACCACGAGAGUUUGCAACACCCGAAGUCGGUGAGGUAACCUUUAUGGAGC